This 317-nucleotide ribosomal RNA is filed under the name uncultured bacterium. Its description in RNAcentral is "bacterial SSU rRNA". It matches the Rfam family "Bacterial small subunit ribosomal RNA", at positions 502 to 793 of the family's 1533-position model. The record is from RNAcentral.
CCGUCGCCAGCAGCCGACGGUAAGUACGGGAGGGUGCGAGCGUUAAGUACGGUAAUUACGUGGGACGUAAAGCGCAUGCAGGCGGCCUGUUAAGUCAGAUGUAGAAACGGCCCGGGGACCUUUAACCGUACGGUAAGUUGCUAUUUAGUAAACGUGGCGAGGCUAGAGUCUUGUAGGAGGGGGGUAGGAAUUUCAGGUGUAGCGGUGAAAUGCGUAGAGAUCUGAAGGAAUACCAGUGGCGAAGGCGGCCCCCUGGACAAAGACUGACGCUCAGAUGCGAAAGCGUGGGGAGCAAACAGGAUUAGAUACCCUGGUAG